Molecule: transfer RNA, 74 nt
Filed under: Apaloderma vittatum (bar-tailed trogon)
Lineage: Eukaryota; Metazoa; Chordata; Aves; Trogoniformes; Trogonidae
Rfam family: tRNA
About the family: Transfer RNA (tRNA) molecules are approximately 80 nucleotides in length. Their secondary structure includes four short double-helical elements and three loops (D, anti-codon, and T loops). Further hydrogen bonds mediate the characteristic L-shaped molecular structure. tRNAs have two regions of fundamental functional importance: the anti-codon, which is responsible for specific mRNA codon recognition, and the 3' end, to which the tRNAs corresponding amino acid is attached (by aminoacyl-tRNA synthetases). tRNAs cope with the degeneracy of the genetic code in two manners: having more than one tRNA (with a specific anti-codon) for a particular amino acid; and 'wobble' base-pairing, i.e. permitting non-standard base-pairing at the 3rd anti-codon position.
Source: Rfam by way of RNAcentral
GGCCAGUUAGCUCAACUGAUUAGAGCGUGGUGCUGAUAACACCAAGGUCAUGGGUUUGAUUCUCAUUCAGUCCC